ACGCUGACAGAAUGCUUAACACAUGCAAGUCGAUGAUGGGAGCUAGCUUGCUUGAAGAAGUCAUGGCGGACGGGUGAGUAACGUGUAAAGAACUUACCAUAUAGACUGGGAUAACAGAGGGAAACUUCUGAUAAUACUGGAUAAGUUAGUAGUAGCAUUACUAAGUAAUGAAAGGUAGUAAUACGCUAUAUGAGAGCUUUGCAUCCUAUUAGCUAGUUGGUGGGGUAAAAGCCUACCAAGGCGAUGAUAGGUAGCCGGCCUGAGAGGGUGGACGGCCACAAGGGGACUGAGAUACGGCCCUUACUCCUACGGGAGGCAGCAGUGGGGAAUAUUGGACAAUGGAGGCAACUCUGAUCCAGCAAUUCUGUGUGUGUGAAGAAGGUUUUAGGACUGUAAAACACUUUUAGUAGGGAAGAAAGAAAUGACGGUACCUACAGAAGAAGCGACGGCUAAAUACGUGCCAGCAGCCGCGGUAAUACGUAUGUCGCGAGCGUUAUCCGGAAUUAUUGGGCUUAAAGGGCAUCUAGGCGGUUAAACAAGUUGAAGGUGAAAACCUGUGGCUCAACCAUAGGCUUGCCUACAAAACUGUAUAACUAGAGUACUGGAAAGGUGGGUGGAACUACACGAGUAGAGGUGAAAUUCGUAGAUAUGUGUAGGAAUGCCGAUGAUGAAGAUAACUCACUGGACAGCAACUGACGCUGAAGUGCGAAAGCUAGGG
This 718-nucleotide ribosomal RNA is filed under the name uncultured Sneathia sp. Its description in RNAcentral is "bacterial SSU rRNA". It matches the Rfam family "Bacterial small subunit ribosomal RNA", at positions 33 to 765 of the family's 1533-position model. The record is from RNAcentral. Lineage: Bacteria; Fusobacteriati; Fusobacteriota; Fusobacteriia; Fusobacteriales; Leptotrichiaceae.